This 123-nucleotide ribosomal RNA is filed under the name Mixta calida. RNAcentral describes it as "partial 23S ribosomal RNA". The stretch from base 1 to 103 matches the Rfam family "Bacterial large subunit ribosomal RNA", at positions 2823 to 2925 of the family's 2925-position model. Lineage: Bacteria; Pseudomonadati; Pseudomonadota; Gammaproteobacteria; Enterobacterales; Erwiniaceae. The record is from RNAcentral.
CCCCCUGAAGGGACGUUGAAGACGACGACGUUGAUAGGCCGGGUGUGUAAGCGCAGCGAUGCGUUGAGCUAACCGGUACUAAUGACCCGUGAGGCUUAACCUUACAACGCCACAGGCGUUUUG